AUACUUUUGAAGCAACACUGGCAGAACAACAGACAACAACAACAACAACAACAACAACAACAACAACAACAGCAAAAACAUCAUCAUCAUCAUCAUCAUCAUCAUACUCGUCAUCCUCGGUAUCACCAACAUCAUCAUCAUCAUCAUCAAAAGCAAAUGGUAGAACUGGAUAUACAACUGGUCAAAUGGUUGGACUGGCUAUUGGCAUGCUCCUGACAGGUGUCCUCUUGGCCACAAUUAGUUUUAUACUCUACCGAAGACUGUUACCAAAUAAUCUUGCCACAAGACUGUUGAGUAACGAAAAUCUAUAAUACAGAAAAAUAACAAUUACAAUGAAAAUGAGAGUUUGGUACAGCUCACAGAGUAGGGUACCUCCCCCACCAAAAACAAAAGACCCUUGUAUUUUGAAGUCCUUUUUUCAUUUAUAUAUUUUUCAACCUUUGCUCAUAGGCAACAUCAGCAAGACAACUGUAUUGUAGUAAUAGUAGUAGUAGUAUUAAUAGCUCGCUGGGUUGAGAAUAAAAUACAGUGUCAGCAAAUCCUGGGGUUGAGGGUAUUGACUAACACAGGGGUUUUCAAACUUUUUGACUUGCGGACCCCUUUAUAUUUCAGGCUUUACCUUAGGGACCCCCUUAUAAACGCUUAUGAAAUUUAUACAUAAAUAUUUGCUUAAAAUAACAUAUAUUUUUACAUUUAUUUAUUUAACAGUAUUUAACAAAUAGGUUUAUUGUCAAUUAAAAGAUUUCGAUUAAAAACAUAUAUAAAAUGAAAUUGCCCAUAAAAAGUAUUUGCUGUCUACGGACCCCCUGUCUUGUCCUUGCGGACCGCAGUUUGAAAACCCCUGGACUAACACAACCACCCCUAAAAAAUGCCGGCCUUGUGCCAAAAUUCGAAACCACCAUUGCUAUUGUUAUUAAGGUGAUGAGCUGACAGAAUCAUUCGCAUGCUGGGCAAAAUGCAUAGUGACAUUUCGUCUGUCUUUACAUUCUGAGUUCAAAUGCUGCUGAGGUCGGGGUUGAUAAAAUAAGUACCAGUUAAAUACUGGGGUCAGUGUAAUUGACUUACACUCUUCCCCCAAACUGCUGCCCUUGUGGCAAAAUUUGAAACCAUUAUUAUUAUUAUUAUUAUUAUUAUUAUUAUUAUUAAGGCGGCAAGCUAGCAGAAUUGUUAGCAUGCGGGGCAAGAUGCUUAAUGGUAUUUCAUCUGUCUUCACAUUCUGAGUUCAAAUUCUGCUGAGGUCGACUUUGCUUUUCAUCCUAUUGGGGGGGGGGUCAUUAAAAUAAGUACCAGUUGAAUACUGGGUCAAUGUAAUUGACUAUCCCCGCCCCAAAAUUUCAGGCCUCAUGCCUAUAGUAGGAAGGAUUUAUUAUCAUUAUCAUUAGCAUGCUGGGAAAAAUGCUUAGUGGCAUUUCAUCCAUGUUUAUGAUCCUAUCGGGGGUUAGUAAAAUAAGUACCAGUCGAGUACUGGGUUGAUUUAAUCCACUAGCCGUCUCCCGGGAAGAUGCUGGCUUUGUGCCAAAAUUCGAAAUCGUUAUUAUUGUUAUUAUUUUGUCCAUUGCUUUGAGGAGAAAGGAGAGUAGUGCACAUGACUAUUUUUAGGGCCUUCAAGAAUGAUGGUGACAAUGGUGGGGAGGGGGGUAUUUGGAAGGGAGAAAAUUUCUCUGAAGGAACUUGUGCCGAAUUCUUGCAGUAAAAAUUUUGCUUGAUCAUGGGUCAUUAUGAAAUAACUAGGGUGGUUGUUGCAUUAACAGAAACGGUAGAGCACCAGAGUAAAUAAAAUCCUGGCAGAAUUUAGUCUUAUUCCUCUUUUAUCCAGGAAUAUUAAAUUUUACCAGGAGCACUUUUUGUUUUCUAUACAUCCACCUUUAUCUUUCUCUCUCUGUCUUUACUUCUCCCACUCUCUCUGUCUUUAUCUCUCUCCCCCCUCUCUCUCUCUCUCUCUGAGAGUGCUUGCCAAAUUUCUCUCACGUCCAAAAACAAAUAUGUAUAUGUUUUAUAAAAUUAAUAAAUUCUAACACACGAACAUUUUAAA
This is a long non-coding RNA of Octopus bimaculoides (California two-spot octopus), 2032 nucleotides long. NCBI's taxonomy places the organism in Eukaryota, Metazoa, Mollusca, Cephalopoda, Octopoda, Octopodidae. The record is from RefSeq and is a predicted model, not a curated record.